Molecule: ribosomal RNA, 301 nt
Filed under: uncultured bacterium
Lineage: Bacteria
Description: partial 16S ribosomal RNA
Rfam family: Bacterial small subunit ribosomal RNA
Source: RNAcentral
CAGUAGCCGCGGUAAUACGUAGGGUGCGAGCGUUAAUCGGAAUUACUGGGCGUAAAGCGUGCGCAGGCGGUUCGUUGAGACAGAUGUGAAAUCCCCGGGCUCAACCUAGGAAUUGCAUUUGAUACUGUUUGGCUUGAGUACGGGAGAGGUGAGUGGAAUUCCCAGUGUAGAGGUGAAAUUCGUAGAUAUUGGGAAGAACACCAGUGGCGAAGGCGGCUCACUGGACCGACACUGACGCUGAGGCGCGAAAGCGUGGGGAGCAAACAGGAUUAGAUACCCGCGUAGUCCCUGUCUCUUAUAC